Bradyrhizobium erythrophlei is the source of this 80-nucleotide non-coding RNA. The record is from Rfam. NCBI's taxonomy places the organism in Bacteria, Pseudomonadati, Pseudomonadota, Alphaproteobacteria, Hyphomicrobiales, Nitrobacteraceae.
GGCAUGGGGGUCAGCGAUCCCCCCAUGAGGCGACAUGCCCAAGUAUCGCGUCCCGCUUGAGCGAGGGGCGCACGCGCAUG